Molecule: long non-coding RNA, 575 nt
Filed under: Ananas comosus (pineapple)
Lineage: Eukaryota; Viridiplantae; Streptophyta; Magnoliopsida; Poales; Bromeliaceae
Description: long non-coding RNA (ACOM_LNC024442)
Source: RNAcentral
AAUUUGGAGAUCGGAAGGUGAAAUCGACACUGAGAUUGAUGUGAAUUUGAGCUUUAGUGCUGAAUUUUGGAUUAUUGAUGGAUUUUGUUGUUUAAAUCCUUAGAGAGGCUUGUUGCUGGUUGUGGCUAAGCUUGGCAGGGAUUCCGGCGACUCCUCGCUGCCGUGGAUUAGAGCUAGAGGUGGGUUAAAGUGAUGCUUACCGAAUUUUUGCGGAUUUUCUCUUAAGUUCUAUUGCUAGCAUGUAUUAGUAGAUUUUUGUAUAUCAUGUUUCAUUGCUCGAUUCGUUGAUUUAUUGUGUUCCUAAAUCUGAAUUGGAGCUUCGAAUAUUAGUUAAAUAAUACAUGUUGGACUUGGAUUUGACUUAAGAGAAAACUGGCGCUUCUACACUGCCAUAUGUUAAAACUACCAGAUUUAGCUCUAGGAGUCGUAGUUUGUUUGUAUCACCGCAGUUUGUGGGCGGUGGAUAUUCAGGAUAGUGUAGAGUGUAUUUACGCUCGUGCUGGGAUGCUGAACUUAUUUUUACAGCAGUGUUUAGGCUGUUCCGGACUGUCGGAUGCCGUUGAGGUUGACGAUGG